This 253-nucleotide ribosomal RNA is filed under the name uncultured bacterium. RNAcentral describes it as "partial 16S ribosomal RNA". It matches the Rfam family "Bacterial small subunit ribosomal RNA", at positions 524 to 776 of the family's 1533-position model. The record is from RNAcentral.
CACGUACUGUGCGAACGUUAUUCGGAAUCACUGGGCUUAAAGGGUGCGUAGGCGGCAAUUCAAGUCAGGUGUGAAAUGCCUGAGCUCAACUGAGGCAUUGCGCUUGAAACUGAACUGCUUGAGUAUCCCAGGGGUGUGCGGAACUGCCAGUGGAGCGGUGAAAUGCGCAGAUAUCAGGAGGAACACCGGUGGCGAAGGCGGUUCUCUGGGCAUUACCUGACGCUGAGGAGCGAAAGUGUGGGGAGCGAACAGG